Molecule: microRNA precursor, 123 nt
Filed under: Hordeum vulgare
Lineage: Eukaryota; Viridiplantae; Streptophyta; Magnoliopsida; Poales; Poaceae
Description: microRNA MIR1122
Rfam family: MIR1120/MIR1122 microRNA precursor family
Source: RNAcentral
CAUGUACUACCUCCGUCCGAAAAUACUUGUCCUAGAGAUGAAUGUAUCUAGACUUAUUUUAAUUAUAGAUACAUCCAUUAUAGUAUUUUUAGGACAAAUAUUUUCGGACGGAGGGAGUACAAG